RNAcentral lists this ribosomal RNA (511 nucleotides) under fungal endophyte sp. SX18. RNAcentral describes it as "eukaryotic LSU rRNA". The stretch from base 191 to 344 matches the Rfam family "5.8S ribosomal RNA". The record is from RNAcentral. Lineage: Eukaryota; Fungi.
GUAACAAGGUCUCCGUUGGUGAACCAGCGGAGGGAUCAUUACCGAGUUUACAACUCCCAAACCCCUGUGAACAUACCUAUACGUUGCCUCGGCGGAUCAGCCCGCGCCCCGUAAAACGGGACGGCCCGCCCGAGGACCCCUAAACUCUGUUUUUAGUGGAACUUCUGAGUAAAACAAACAAAUAAAUCAAAACUUUCAACAACGGAUCUCUUGGUUCUGGCAUCGAUGAAGAACGCAGCAAAAUGCGAUAAGUAAUGUGAAUUGCAGAAUUCAGUGAAUCAUCGAAUCUUUGAACGCACAUUGCGCCCGCCAGUAUUCUGGCGGGCAUGCCUGUUCGAGCGUCAUUUCAACCCUCAAGCUCAGCUUGGUGUUGGGACUCGCGGUAACCCGCGUUCCCCAAAUCGAUUGGCGGUCACGUCGAGCUUCCAUAGCGUAGUAAUCAUACACCUCGUUACUGGUAAUCGUCGCGGCCACGCCGUAAAACCCCAACUUCUGAAUGUUGACCUCGGAU